UACGAAGGGGGCUAGCGUUGCUCGGAAUUACUGGGCGUAAAGCGUGCGCAGGCGGUUGGUUAAGUCUGAUGUGAAAGCCCCGGGCUCAACCUGGGAAUGGCAUUGGAAACUGGCUGGCUAGAGUGUGGCAGAGGGGGGUGGAAUUCCGCGUGUAGCAGUGAAAUGCGUAGAGAUGCGGAGGAACACCGAUGGCGAAGGCAGCCCCCUGGGCUAGCACUGACGCUCAGGCACGAAAGCGUGGGGAGCAAACAGG
Molecule: ribosomal RNA, 253 nt
Filed under: uncultured bacterium
Lineage: Bacteria
Description: partial 16S ribosomal RNA
Rfam family: Bacterial small subunit ribosomal RNA
Source: RNAcentral